GCUGCAGUUUCCAAACAUGCAAAAGAGAUGACACGCUGAAAUGAAAAAAAUAAUUACAAAACUUAACAAUAACGAGCGCGCGUUCACACGAGCCACCGUGCUGCUUAUUCAAGAAGAUGGAAAAAUCGAAGUAACGUCAGGUUACGAGGCGUACACAAAGAAGAACGGAUGUAUUUAUAGACACUUUCUCAAUGAAUACCAAAUAAGAUGCUAUAUUGAACCAAUGAUGACCGACACAAUAAACAGGGAGCGAAAAUGUAUGCAAAUCAAAGGGCAGAUGUAGCAACCAACGUAGGGGAAACUGAAGAGAACCGCGAGGAUGUUGAUGAAGAAGAGGAAGAAAAUGAAACUAAUGAUCCAGACGACGAGCAUGAGAAUGAAAAUGAAGACAACGAAAAAAUGGACACAUCAUUCGACAAUGACAACAACGGAAAUAUGGAGUUUGUAUAUGCUGAAGAUGAGGAAAACACUCAUGAUGUGAGUGAAAGGGAGAAACUAAACGAACACCAUUUUACUGACGAAGAACACAUCUGCGGGGAUGAAGAAAUUGAAAUUGAAGAGAAGUGAAGGAACGAGUUCAUAAGACUUCAAAUGGAGCAGAUCGAAAGAAAUAUUAAGGCUAAGAAAUGCUUGAAAAUAUGAAGAGAAUGAAGAUGCAGAAAAGAAAAUGAAGGAUGAAAUAAAGACUGGAGAGCAAAACCAAGAUACAUUAUUCGCAGAUGCGGAACAAGAGUAUAUUAAUGUCUUUGGAGAUGACAAAAUUGAUCCCGACGAUGAAAUAUUGACUUCUACCUGGCCUGACGAAUGGGACGAUUUAGAGAUGUCGGCAGAGAGAACCGUCAGUAAUAGACGCGGAAAGAGGACGCACAGAAAAUAUAAAGAACGACAAAACGGAAGGAAGGGAAGAAGAUGAACAAAAUUGGCUUCUGGCAGGUCAUUGAUAUAUGUCAGAAACAGACAGGGUCCGACAACAGAACCCUGAGGGACACCGGAUAACACGGGCAAUUUGUCAGAAAUUUGACCUUCAACCGCAACCCUUUGGCUGCGGUUGCCCAGGAAUGACCUAAUCUAUGUGGUGACACGACAGUCAAUCCCCAUGUGAUGUAACUUGUGUAUUCGAUUGCGAUGGUCGAUUUUGUCGAAGGCCUUCGAAAUAUCCGUCACAAUGACGUCAGUCUGUUGUCCACUGUCUAGGCUGUCAAGGGCUUCCUGGGAAAAAAACUCAGCAGCUGAGUUUCGCAACUACGUUUAGUCCGGAAACCAUGUUGAAAGGGACUGAGGAUAUCAUUCUGAAAGAAAGUCAUCAUGUUUGAGACAAUUAUAUGCUCCAUAAGUUUAGAAGAGGUGCAAGUGAGGGAUAUCGGUCUGUAGUUGCUAGCUUUAGAUUUAUGACCAUUUUUUACGAUGCUGCAAAGCAGCUCGUCUAAGUUAUCAUACCAUGAAAAAAUUCUUAACAACGGCGACCUAAGUAAAAGACCGAGCCAGUCCGAUUGAGAUAGCUCGAUUUUUCUAAUCGGCAUACCUCGCUGAUAAUUGUUGAUAAAGGUAUAGGAAGCUCAGCUAUAAAUAGGACAGCAUAUUAUGGGAAAAAGUUUUAAUAAUAGUUUGAAAACGUCAAUUUAUAAUCAGUUAUAUUCAAUCCAUUAUAUGUUUAUAGAUCAAUGAAACAACUAUGUAUUUUCUGUAUUGUAUUUGAUAUUUGCCGUGAUUCAGUAAAUAAAUUGCGAAUUAAAACGUGUAUAAUUAACUUUUAACGCGAUCAUGAGUGUAAAGAAAACGAAUUAUUUCGAACCUGCCAUUUGUAAACGUUGUAGCGACUAUGGUACAUAAACAGCAUAAU
Dreissena polymorpha is the source of this 1840-nucleotide RNA transcript. It is a transcript of the gene named serine/threonine-protein kinase rio2-like, with no coding region annotated. The record is from RefSeq and is a predicted model, not a curated record. Lineage: Eukaryota; Metazoa; Mollusca; Bivalvia; Myida; Dreissenidae. The transcript has 3 exons.